GACGAACGCUGGCGGCGUGCUUAACACAUGCAAGUCGAACGGAAAGGCCCUGCUUUUGUGGGGUGCUCGCGUGGCGAACGGGUGUGUAACACGUGAGUAACCUGCCCUUUACUUUGGGAUAACUUCAGGCAACUGGUGCUAAUACCGGAUAGGAGCUCCUGCUGCAUGGUGGGGUUUGGACAGUUUAGGCGGUUGGGGAUGGACUCGCGGCUUAUCAGCUUGUUGGUGGGGUAGUGGCUUACCAAGGCUUUGGCGGGUAGCCGGCCUGAGAGGGUGACCGGCCACAUGGGGACUGAGAGACGGCCCAGACGCGUACGGGAGGCAGCAGGGGGGAAUAUUGCCCAAUGGGGGGAAGCGUGAUGCAGAAACGCCGGGUGCGGGAUGACGGCCUUCGGGUUGGGAACCGCUUUCGCCUGUGACGAAGCGUGAGUGACGGUAAUGGGAAAAGAAGCACCGGCUAACUACGUG
RNAcentral lists this ribosomal RNA (468 nucleotides) under uncultured bacterium. Its description in RNAcentral is "partial 16S ribosomal RNA". It matches the Rfam family "Bacterial small subunit ribosomal RNA", at positions 28 to 507 of the family's 1533-position model. The record is from RNAcentral.